RNAcentral lists this ribosomal RNA (325 nucleotides) under Lactarius cinereus. Its description in RNAcentral is "eukaryotic LSU rRNA". It matches the Rfam family "Eukaryotic large subunit ribosomal RNA", at positions 1 to 317 of the family's 3401-position model. The record is from RNAcentral. Lineage: Eukaryota; Fungi; Basidiomycota; Agaricomycetes; Russulales; Russulaceae.
UUGACCUCAAAUCGGGUGAGACUACCCGCUGAACUUAAGCAUAUCAAUAAGCGGAGGAAAAGAAACUAACAAGGAUUCCCCUAGUAACUGYGAGUGAAGCGGGAAAAGCUCAAAUUUAAAAUCUGGCGGCCUUUGGCUGUCCGAGUUGUAAUUUAGAGAAGCGUCUUCCGCGCUGGCCCGUGCACAAGUCUCCUGGAAUGGAGCGUCAUAGAGGGUGAGAAUCCCGUCUUUGGCACGGAUGCCUGGUGCUUCUGUGAUGCGCUCUCGAAGAGUCGAGUUGUUUGGGAAUGCAGCUCAAAAUGGGUGGUGAACUCCAUCUAAAGCU